GAUGAAGAACGCAGUGAAAUGCGAUAACUAAUGUGAAUUGCAGAAUUCCGUGAAUCAUCGAGUCUUUGAACGCACAUUGCGCCCCCUGGUAUUCCGGGGGGCAUGCCUGUCCGAGCGUCAUUGCUGCCCAUCAAGCACGGCUUGUGUGUUGGGUCCCGUCCCCCUCUCCCGGGGGACGGACCCGAAAGGCAGCGGCGGCACCGCGUCCGGUCCUCGAGCGUAUGGGGCUUUGUCACCCGCUCUUGUAGGCCCGGCCGGCGCUUGCCGACACCCAACCAUUUUUUUCAGGUUGACCUCGGAUCUGGUAGGGAUACCCGCUGAACUUAAGCAUAUCAAUAAGCGGAGGA
Molecule: unclassified non-coding RNA, 347 nt
Filed under: soil metagenome
Description: partial contains 5.8S ribosomal RNA, internal transcribed spacer 2, and large subunit ribosomal RNA
Rfam family: 5.8S ribosomal RNA (bases 1-120)
Source: RNAcentral